Molecule: ribosomal RNA, 566 nt
Filed under: Gloeandromyces diversiformis f. vanillicarpiformis
Lineage: Eukaryota; Fungi; Ascomycota; Laboulbeniomycetes; Laboulbeniales; Laboulbeniaceae
Description: SSU rRNA
Rfam family: Eukaryotic small subunit ribosomal RNA
Source: RNAcentral
UAGUGUUCCUCGCAUGCUUUUGACGGGUAACGGGGAAUUAGGGUUCGACUCCGGAGAGGGAGCCUGAGAAACGGCUACCACAUCCAAGGAAGGCAGCAGGCGCGCAAAUUACCCAAUCCCAACAUGGGGAGGUAGUGACAAGAAAUACUGAUAUAGGGUCCUAUAGGAUCUUGUAAUUGGAAUGAGUACAAUUUAAACCCAUUAACGAGGAACAACUAGAGGGCAAGUCUGGUGCCAGCAGCCGCGGUAAUUCCAGCUCUAGUAGCAUACAUUAAAAUUGUUGCAGUUAAAACGCCCGUAGUUGAAGUUUGGGCCUGGUCAACUGGUCUGCCUCACCGCGAGUACUGGUAUGAUUGGGUCUUUUUUCUUGGUGUACUGCAUGCUCUUUAUCAGGGUGUGCUAGUAAACUAGGACUUUUACUUUGAAAAAAUUAGAGUGUUUAAAGCAGGCUUUUGCUCGAAUACCUUAGCAUGGAAUAAUGGAAUAUGACGUGUGGUUGUUUUUCAUUGGUUUUCACGACUACCGUAAUGAUUGAUAGGGAUGGUCGGGGGCAUCGGUAUUCGAUC